Molecule: non-coding RNA, 73 nt
Organism: Agrilus planipennis (emerald ash borer)
Lineage: Eukaryota; Metazoa; Arthropoda; Insecta; Coleoptera; Buprestidae
Source: Rfam
CCUUUCGUAGCUUAGUUGCCAAAGCAUUGGCGUGUAAAGCCAAAGCUUCCGGGUUCGAUUCCCGGUGAGGGUG